Molecule: transfer RNA, 72 nt
Filed under: Ovis aries (sheep)
Lineage: Eukaryota; Metazoa; Chordata; Mammalia; Artiodactyla; Bovidae
Rfam family: tRNA
About the family: Transfer RNA (tRNA) molecules are approximately 80 nucleotides in length. Their secondary structure includes four short double-helical elements and three loops (D, anti-codon, and T loops). Further hydrogen bonds mediate the characteristic L-shaped molecular structure. tRNAs have two regions of fundamental functional importance: the anti-codon, which is responsible for specific mRNA codon recognition, and the 3' end, to which the tRNAs corresponding amino acid is attached (by aminoacyl-tRNA synthetases). tRNAs cope with the degeneracy of the genetic code in two manners: having more than one tRNA (with a specific anti-codon) for a particular amino acid; and 'wobble' base-pairing, i.e. permitting non-standard base-pairing at the 3rd anti-codon position.
Source: Rfam by way of RNAcentral
UCCCCGGUGAUCCAGUGGUUAGGACUUGGCAUUUUCAGUGCUAAGGGCCAGGUUCAAUCCCUGAUUGGGGAA